ACUCAUUAAGGCUAUGGCAUAUAUUUUUAAAGAUUUAUUUUGUUAUUCUUAAUUAAAAGUAUAUGUGGUAUACACCAUGGCAUAUUUUAAAGAAUAUAAGCCACCAUCCACUAAUUAAAAAAAAAAAAGAAAAGAAAAGAAAAGAAACAGAAACUUGGUGGGUGGUGGCUCAGGCCUUUUAUCCCAGUAGUCAAGGCAGAGGUGGAUUACUGAGUUCAAGGCCAUCUUGAUCUACAGAGUGUGUUCCAGGACAGCCAGGACUACACACAGAAACCCUGUCUUGAAGAAGAAAAAAACCCAAACAACAAAAAGACAGGUUUCUCUACAUAGCCUUGGCUGACUUGGACCUCAGUCUGUAUAAACCAGCCUGGUUUUAUUAGGAAGCUCUUCUGUAAGCAAUAAGUGAUAUUUAGUUAUUUAUCUUUGGGUAGAUGUUUCUCACAGAUUAGAAUGCACAGAACUAAGGUCCGUUCUAGCCUCUUACCUCUACAUGAAAAACCAUAGAGAGCUCUCCCCUCCUCUGAGCUUCUCCCAGCCUUCCAUGUCUCCCUCCACUCCCUGCCCCUGUCAUAGAUAGGGUCUCAUGUAUCUCAGGCCGACCUUGAACUCACUAUGUAGCCAAGAAUGACUGUCUGCUCCUGAUGCUGAGUGCCCAUUUAUGUGGUACUGGCUAUUGAACCCAGGGCUUCAUGGAAGUGCUUCCCCAGUCAAGCUAAACCACUGGUCUCAUCAGCCCUCGGUUUUUAAUUGUAAACCUUCCCUGACAGAACAUACAUAGUAGCAUACAUAAACCUUAUAGCUACAUUGACAUGUAUGAUCUGAAAUAAUAAUAAUGUCUUAUGUUGUAGUCCUUGCAGUUUCAGGGUUUUUUUGUUUUUGUUUUUGUUUUCUCCUGCCCCUGUUCCAGGUUUUUUCAGACUUGUAAGUUUUUUGUUUGGCUGGUUAGUUUUGGUUUUUGAAGGCAGAUUUUUUUCUGUGCUGUAACUCACUCUGUAGAUCAGACUGGACUCAGUGAUCUGCCUCUCUGCCUCCCAGGUGCUGAGAUUAAAGGCAUGCACCACCAUGCCUGGCCCUCAAAUUUGUAAGAUUUUAUAUUAUCAAACUAAUAAUCUUUGCUGUCUAAUUUUCCUAGUUUUUAGCCAUUUCUUUUUGUUUAUAUACCUUUACAAGUCUUUAGCAGAGUUUUAUGUAAAUCACGAUUUCUAAGUGUCCUUAACAGCCCAGGCCAGCCUGGGCUAUACAGUGAGACCCUGUGUAAAACAAACAGUGGAGCCAAUAGACUUGAUUGGACACCUCAUAAACAUAUGAAUAGACUCCAGGAAGACUAGUAAUCAUUGGAAGAAGGCAAAUUAAAACUGUGGUAAAAUUUCUACUUAUAUCAUU
Molecule: long non-coding RNA, 1383 nt
Filed under: Mus musculus (house mouse)
Lineage: Eukaryota; Metazoa; Chordata; Mammalia; Rodentia; Muridae
Description: long non-coding RNA chr12:76769461-76770844
Source: RNAcentral